This 206-nucleotide ribosomal RNA is filed under the name uncultured bacterium. RNAcentral describes it as "partial 16S ribosomal RNA". It matches the Rfam family "Bacterial small subunit ribosomal RNA", at positions 524 to 726 of the family's 1533-position model. The record is from RNAcentral.
UACGUAGGGGGCAAGCGUUGUCCGGAAUCAUUGGGCGUAAAGCGCGUGUAGGCGGCUCAGUAAGUCCGCUCUGAAAGCCCGGGGCUCAACCCCGGGAGGCGGGUGGAUACUGCUGAGCUCGAGUCCGGAAGAGGGAGUGUGGAAUUCCUGGUGUAGCGGUGAAAUGCGCAGAUAGUCAGGAGGGAACACCGGUGGCGAAGGCGGGU